CUAUUAUUUAACCCUCAUUAAUUAUAUAAGACAAAAGAUGAAAACCACACAGUGGUUACUGAGACAGAUCUCGAACCACAUGGUUGCAGGCUUCAUCCUCACUCUGCCUGACUGUUAGAAACCUUUAAUCCUGUCCAUAUUCCUGUCUAUCCCACUGUAAUUUGGUACAAGGCCAGAAAAGCAUUUAGGAGUUAAAAUAGAACAGAAACCAAGAUCCACCAGAGUUUUUCUUCAUGUGCACAUAAAAGACAAGUCUGUCUUCAUUGACCAGGUUCUCCAAGAAAUCAACACAAUAUUUGAUUAUAUUGAUAGAAUUUCCUUGAUUUGGAUAAUAAAUGAAAUUACAAAAAAAAGUGAAUUUGACUUCUUCAUUGGUGACAUGUGAGAAAUAACAAGUAAACUGAUGUUGCAAUUGGAAUCGAUCAAGACAUUCCCUGGGAGCAACCAAAUGUCUAUAAUUCUUGAGACUUUAAAUUAUUGGCUACAUACAAUUACAGCUGGAAGAAAAUGAAGUAAAAUUGUACAAUGACUCACUUUUUUCCCCUUUUAACUCGAAGUAUGAAAGUCAAAUCAAAAAUAUUGCCAAAGGGUUAAAAUAAUAACUCAUGAUAAUAACUAUAUGUAUGUAAAUUUAUAAUAUUAAUAUCAAUGUGAAUUGAAUUGCAUCAAUAAACAAGUUGUAAACAAAAAGAAUAAAAUCAACAAAAUAUGUCACAAACAACACAGAUUUAGAUAAAGUUCACAUUUACCCAAAAUUUCAUUAAAAUACUUAAACUAUAGAGACAAUAAACAGGUUAAUAAAGGACAAUAUUGGUGUCAGCCAUUAUCAC
Long non-coding RNA from Patella vulgata (common limpet), 830 nucleotides. RefSeq lists it as uncharacterized. The record is from RefSeq and is a predicted model, not a curated record. The transcript has 3 exons. Lineage: Eukaryota; Metazoa; Mollusca; Gastropoda; Patellidae.